RNAcentral lists this ribosomal RNA (482 nucleotides) under uncultured bacterium. RNAcentral describes it as "partial 16S ribosomal RNA". It matches the Rfam family "Bacterial small subunit ribosomal RNA", at positions 28 to 507 of the family's 1533-position model. The record is from RNAcentral.
GACGAACGCUGGCGGCGCGCUUAACACAUGCAAGUCGAGCGAUGAAGUCUUAACAGAACCCUUCGGGGUGAAGAUAAGACGGAUUAGCGGCGGACGGGUGAGUAACACGUGAGUAACCUGCCUUUUACACAGGGAUAGCCUCAGGAAACCGGGAUUAAAACCUGAUGAAACUAUCAAAUCACAUGAUUAAGAAAGUUAAAACUCCGGUGGUAAAAGAUGGACUCGCGUCCCAUUAGCUAGUUGGUGAAGGUAACGGCCCACCAAGGCAACGAUGGGUAGCCGGCCUGAGAGGGUGAACGGCCACAUUGGAACUGAGAAACGGUCCAAACUCCUACGGGAGGCAGCAGUGGGGAAUAUUGCACAAUGGGGGAAACCCUGAUGCAGCGACGCCGCGUGAGCGAAGAAGGCCUUCGGGUCGUAAAGCUCUUUUAUAUGGGAAGAUAAUGACGGUACCAUAAGAAAAAGCCCCGGCUAACUACGUG